This 291-nucleotide ribosomal RNA is filed under the name uncultured Herbaspirillum sp. RNAcentral's name for it is "partial 16S ribosomal RNA". It matches the Rfam family "Bacterial small subunit ribosomal RNA", at positions 505 to 795 of the family's 1533-position model. Lineage: Bacteria; Pseudomonadati; Pseudomonadota; Betaproteobacteria; Burkholderiales; Oxalobacteraceae. The record is from RNAcentral.
GUGUCAGCCGCCGCGGUAAUACGUAGGGUGCAAGCGUUAAUCGGAAUUACUGGGCGUAAAGCGUGCGCAGGCGGUUGUGUAAGUCAGAUGUGAAAUCCCCGGGCUCAACCUGGGAAUUGCAUUUGAGACUGCACGGCUAGAGUGUGUCAGAGGGGGGUAGAAUUCCACGUGUAGCAGUGAAAUGCGUAGAUAUGUGGAGGAAUACCGAUGGCGAAGGCAGCCCCCUGGGAUAACACUGACGCUCAUGCACGAAAGCGUGGGGAGCAAACAGGAUUAGAUACCCCAGUAGUC